AUUGAACGCUGGCGGCAGGCCUAACACAUGCAAGUCGAGCGGGGUUUUCGGACCUAGCGGCGGACGGGUGAGUAAUGCGUAGGAAGCUGCCCGAUAGAGGGGGAUACCAGUUGGAAACGACUGUUAAUACCGCAUAAUGUCUACGGACCAAAGUGUGGACCUUCGGGCCACAUGCUAUCGGAUGCGCCUACGUGGGAUUAGCUAGUUGGUGAGGUAAUGGCUCACCAAGGCGACGAUCUCUAGCUGGUUUGAGAGGAUGAUCAGCCACACUGGAACUGAGACACGGUCCAGACUCCUACGGGAGGCAGCAGUGGGGAAUAUUGGACAAUGGGCGCAAGCCUGAUCCAGCCAUGCCGCGUGUGUGAAGAAGGCCUUCGGGUUGUAAAGCACUUUCAGCGAGGAGGAAGGGUGGUGUGUUAAUAGCACAUCAUUUUGACGUUACUCGCAGAAGAAGCACCGGCUAACUCUGUGCCAGCCGCCGCCGUAA
RNAcentral lists this ribosomal RNA (487 nucleotides) under uncultured bacterium. RNAcentral's name for it is "partial 16S ribosomal RNA". It matches the Rfam family "Bacterial small subunit ribosomal RNA", at positions 30 to 523 of the family's 1533-position model. The record is from RNAcentral.